This 2939-nucleotide ribosomal RNA is filed under the name Priestia megaterium. Its description in RNAcentral is "bacterial LSU rRNA". It matches the Rfam family "Bacterial large subunit ribosomal RNA". The record is from RNAcentral. Lineage: Bacteria; Bacillati; Bacillota; Bacilli; Caryophanales; Bacillaceae. RNAcentral also lists the same sequence under 1 other name.
AUGGUUAAGUUAGAAAGGGCGCACGGUGAAUGCCUUGGCACUAGGAGCCGAUGAAGGACGGGACUAACACCGAUAUGCUUCGGGGAGCUGUAAGUGAGCUUUGAUCCGGAGAUUUCCGAAUGGGGAAACCCACUGUUCGUAAUGGAACAGUAUCUUUAUCUGAAUACAUAGGAUAUUGAAGGCAGACCCGGGGAACUGAAACAUCUAAGUACCCGGAGGAAGAGAAAGCAAAUGCGAUUUCCUGAGUAGCGGCGAGCGAAACGGAAUUAGCCCAAACCAAGAGGCUUGCCUCUUGGGGUUGUAGGACACUCUAUACGGAGUUACAAAGGAACGAAGUAAAUGAAGCGACCUGGAAAGGUCCGUCGAAGAAGGUAACAACCCUGUAGUUGAAACUUCGUUCCCUCUUGAGUGGAUCCUGAGUACGGCGGAACACGUGAAAUUCCGUCGGAAGCUGGGAGGACCAUCUCCCAAGGCUAAAUACUACCUAGUGACCGAUAGUGAACCAGUACCGUGAGGGAAAGGUGAAAAGCACCCCGGAAGGGGAGUGAAAGAGAUCCUGAAACCGUGUGCCUACAAGUAGUCAGAGCCCGUUAACGGGUGAUGGCGUGCCUUUUGUAGAAUGAACCGGCGAGUUACGAUCCCAUGCAAGGUUAAGCUGAUAAGGCGGAGCCGUAGCGAAAGCGAGUCUGAAUAGGGCGUUUAGUAUGUGGUUGUAGACCCGAAACCAGGUGAUCUACCCAUGUCCAGGGUGAAGUUCAGGUAACACUGAAUGGAGGCCCGAACCCACGCACGUUGAAAAGUGCGGGGAUGAGGUGUGGGUAGCGGAGAAAUUCCAAUCGAACCUGGAGAUAGCUGGUUCUCUCCGAAAUAGCUUUAGGGCUAGCCUCAUGUUGUGAGAGUCUUGGAGGUAGAGCACUGAUUGGACUAGGGGCCCCCAACGGGUUACCGAAUUCAGUCAAACUCCGAAUGCCAAAGACUUAUCCAUGGGAGUCAGACUGCGAGUGAUAAGAUCCGUAGUCAAAAGGGAAACAGCCCAGACCACCAGCUAAGGUCCCCAAGUAUACGUUAAGUGGAAAAGGAUGUGGAGUUGCUUAGACAACCAGGAUGUUGGCUUAGAAGCAGCCACCAUUUAAAGAGUGCGUAAUAGCUCACUGGUCGAGUGACUCUGCGCCGAAAAUGUACCGGGGCUAAACGUAUCACCGAAGCUGUGGAUUGACAUCUUUGAUGUCAGUGGUAGGAGAGCGUUCUAAGUGCUGUGAAGUCAGACCGUAAGGACUGGUGGAGCGCUUAGAAGUGAGAAUGCCGGUAUGAGUAGCGAAAGACAAGUGAGAAUCUUGUCCACCGAAUGCCUAAGGUUUCCUGAGGAAGGCUCGUCCGCUCAGGGUUAGUCGGGACCUAAGCCGAGGCUGAAAAGCGUAGGCGAUGGCCAACAGGUUGAUAUUCCUGUACCACCUCCCCGCCGUUUGAGUAAUGGGGGGACGCAGUAGGAUAGGGUAAGCGCGCUGCUGGAUAUGCGCGUUCAAGCAGUUAGGCUGAUGAGUAGGCAAAUCCGCUCAUCAUAAAGGCUGAGCUGUGAUGACGAGGGAAUUAUAGUACCGAAGUUCCUGAUUCCACACUGCCAAGAAAAGCCUCUAGCGAGGCGGGAGGUGCCCGUACCGCAAACCGACACAGGUAGGCGAGGAGAGAAUCCUAAGGUGAUCGAGAGAACUCUCGUUAAGGAACUCGGCAAAAUGACCCCGUAACUUCGGGAGAAGGGGUGCUCUGGUAGGGUGUAUAGCCCGAGAGAGCCGCAGUGAAUAGGCCCAGGCGACUGUUUAGCAAAAACACAGGUCUCUGCGAAGCCGCAAGGCGAAGUAUAGGGGCUGACGCCUGCCCGGUGCUGGAAGGUUAAGAGGAGGGGUUAUCCUUUGGGAGAAGCUCUGAAUUGAAGCCCCAGUAAACGGCGGCCGUAACUAUAACGGUCCUAAGGUAGCGAAAUUCCUUGUCGGGUAAGUUCCGACCCGCACGAAAGGCGUAACGAUCUGGGCACUGUCUCAACGAGAGACUCGGUGAAAUUAUAGUACCUGUGAAGAUGCAGGUUACCCGCGACAGGACGGAAAGACCCCGUGGAGCUUUACUGUAGCCUGAUAUUGAAUUUUGGUACAGCUUGUACAGGAUAGGUAGGAGCCUGAGAAGCCGGAGCGCUAGCUUCGGUGGAGGCGUCGGUGGGAUACUACCCUGGCUGUAUUGAAAUUCUAACCCGCGGCCCUGAUCGGGCCGGGAGACAGUGUCAGGUGGGCAGUUUGACUGGGGCGGUCGCCUCCUAAAAUGUAACGGAGGCGCCCAAAGGUUCCCUCAGAAUGGUUGGAAAUCAUUCGUAGAGUGUAAAGGCACAAGGGAGCUUGACUGCGAGACCUACAAGUCGAGCAGGGACGAAAGUCGGGCUUAGUGAUCCGGUGGUUCCGCAUGGAAGGGCCAUCGCUCAACGGAUAAAAGCUACCCCGGGGAUAACAGGCUUAUCUCCCCCAAGAGUCCACAUCGACGGGGAGGUUUGGCACCUCGAUGUCGGCUCAUCGCAUCCUGGGGCUGUAGUCGGUCCCAAGGGUUGGGCUGUUCGCCCAUUAAAGCGGUACGCGAGCUGGGUUCAGAACGUCGUGAGACAGUUCGGUCCCUAUCCGUCGUGGGCGUAGGAAAUUUGAGAGGAGCUGUCCUUAGUACGAGAGGACCGGGAUGGACACACCGCUGGUGUACCAGUUGUCUUGCCAAAGGCAUCGCUGGGUAGCUAUGUGUGGACGGGAUAAGUGCUGAAAGCAUCUAAGCAUGAAGCCCCCCUCAAGAUGAGAUUUCCCAUAGCGCAAGCUAGUAAGAUCCCUGAAAGAUGAUCAGGUUGAUAGGUCAGAGGUGGAAGCGUGGCGACAUGUGUAGCUGACUGAUACUAAUCGAUCGAGGACUUAACCAAA